Bombina bombina (fire-bellied toad) is the source of this 460-nucleotide long non-coding RNA. RefSeq lists it as uncharacterized. The transcript has 3 exons. The record is from RefSeq and is a predicted model, not a curated record. Lineage: Eukaryota; Metazoa; Chordata; Amphibia; Anura; Bombinatoridae.
UUCCUUUUCAGCUGUCUUGGAGACCAUCUCGCUAAAACUUAACAAAGGCCAUCAUGUCUGGAGUAAAGGGACAGCAAAAGAAAUGCCCUGAGCCUUGCCCACCACAGCCAUGCCCUCCACCACCACAGCAGUGCCAGGAUCCUUGCAAACAAGAGCCAAAGUGUCCUGAACCUGUUCAGAAAUGCCCUCCUCCUCAAGAACAAUGCAAACCACAGUGCCCACAAGACCAGCAGAAAUGAGCAGAAAAUGUUCCCACCUUAACACCUGGCAAAUACUUCUGUCAAUUUGAUGCAUUUAAGGAACUUUGAUAGAUCAAUAUGGUUUAAAUAUUGUUAUCAUCUAAAUAAAACAAAUGAUGGAAUAUUUAUUAGCUUUAUCUUCAUGACUGUUUAAUAAAGUCUUCAGAUAUGUAAAAUGCGAUGUGAUAUUCAAAAAUAUAAAUAAAAUCUGUUAUCUUAAA